CAGGGAGACAACAAAAUGUUUAAUAUUAUUAUUUUGUCACCUUAGGUCGAUCGGUAUCUCACGUUUUUAAUUUAUUAAGAAUUUCAUUUCCUAAGUUUUUCUAGGUCACACCCAUUAUUUUUCCUGGGCCAUUAGCUCAGGUGGUUAGAGCGCACCCCUGAUAAGGGUGAGGUCCCUGGUUCAAGUCCAGGAUGGCCCAUAUCUCAAUGUUGGGGGUAUAGCUCAGUUGGUAGAGCGCCUGCUUUGCAAGCAGGAUGUCAGCGGUUCGAGUCCGCUUACCUCCACUGAUCACCACCUCUUCCAUAAUCGGUAGAAAGGAAAUUUUUUGAGUUGUGAUCAAAUUCUGAAAGAAUCUAGCUUCCUAAUGAAAUCAUUAAGAUGCUGGACUCAUUGAAUUAAUUUCAUUGUUUUCAGAGAACCUUGACAACUGCAUAGAUUAUUUUUAAAGACAAUAAGCAUCUUUAAUGAUGCAGAUUUAUUAUUUGUGCAAAUGCAUUAAUAACAAUUCUAUUAAGCUGAUGCUUCAAUAUUUGAAGUUAUU
RNAcentral lists this transfer RNA (541 nucleotides) under uncultured Prochlorococcus sp. Its description in RNAcentral is "partial 16S-23S ribosomal RNA intergenic spacer". The stretch from base 212 to 284 matches the Rfam family "tRNA". The record is from RNAcentral. Lineage: Bacteria; Bacillati; Cyanobacteriota; Cyanophyceae; Synechococcales; Prochlorococcaceae.